Molecule: ribosomal RNA, 372 nt
Filed under: uncultured organism
Description: partial 16S ribosomal RNA
Rfam family: Bacterial small subunit ribosomal RNA
Source: RNAcentral
GUAGGUGGCAAGCGUUGUCCGGAAUUAUUGGGCGUAAAGCGCGCGCAGGUGGUUCUUUAAGUCUGAUGUGAAAGCCCCCGUCUCAACCGGGGAGGGUCAUUGGAAACUGGGGAACUUGAGUGCAGGAGAGGAAAGUGGAAUUCCACGUGUAGCGGUGAAAUGCGUAGAUAUGUGGAGGAACACCAGUGGCGAAGGCGACUUUCUGGCCUGUAACUGACACUGAGGCGCGAAAGCGUGGGGAGCAAACAGGAUUAGAUACCCUGGUAGUCCACGCCGUAAACGAUGAGUGCUAAGUGUUGGGGGGUUUCCGCCCCUCAGUGCUGCAGCUAACGCAUUAAGCACUCCGCCUGGGGAGUACGGCCGCAAAGACUG